Molecule: long non-coding RNA, 569 nt
Organism: Andrographis paniculata
Lineage: Eukaryota; Viridiplantae; Streptophyta; Magnoliopsida; Lamiales; Acanthaceae
Exons: 4
Source: RefSeq, a predicted model, not a curated record
AAAACAGUAAAAUCACAGGCUCCACUAUGAAUUCCAUUAUUGAAGUCCAACGCCAAUAAAUUCUCUGAUUUGGGGAUUAGGGUUUCUAGUUCGAAACUUUUUCUCUGAUUGCUGCGAAACCGAUCCUUAUUGCGGUCAACAAUGUCGAGCAAACAAGGAGGAAAAGCGAAGCCUUUGAAGCAACCUAAGGCUGACAAGAAAGAAUACGACGAGAUCGACAAGGCCAAUAUUCAGAAGAAGAAGGAUGAAGAAAAGGCAUUGAAGGAGCUGAAGGCAAAGGCACAACAAAAGGGAGCAUUUGGGGGCUCGGGUUUGAAGAAAAGUGGCAAGAAAUGAGUGCCGUGGAUAGCCCUAAUUACCGCAACACAUUGAUGGUUAAUUUCUAUCAAACAUUAUAAUAGUGUAUGUGAACAAGUGUGCUAUGGUUUUUGUUAUUCAAGUGUGUUCUUGCAUUUCGCACGGUGUUCUUACUUGUCAAACUUGAUUUCGAACUUGAUUUAAAUCGCGGAAGUCAUGUUGAAAUAUAGUUCUUAACGGAAUAGUCAAUUUACACAGUGUGUUCUUUUGAA